This is a long non-coding RNA of Populus trichocarpa (black cottonwood), 1156 nucleotides long. RefSeq lists it as uncharacterized. The record is from RefSeq and is a predicted model, not a curated record. The transcript is spliced from 3 exons. Lineage: Eukaryota; Viridiplantae; Streptophyta; Magnoliopsida; Malpighiales; Salicaceae.
GGGUGUGGAAGGGGAAGAGAAAGAUCGAUAUCUACUACCCUACUUUUUCUCUUAUGCAUUUUUGUCCCUCGCCAGUCUCGCCCAUAUUGUUAAUUUGCUCUGAUAAGGCUGGUGCAAUUCACUGAAAUGAGCUACGUUCUUGUUUUCUUUUUUAAAGAUGUUUAUAAUUUGCUCCCUCUCAAAAAGGGGAGGGGUUCUUUGUUAGGUGGAAAGAAGACAAGAACAUGCUGCUUGGUGUCAGUUAUUGUGCGCUAUUGAUGGAUGGGAUCGGCAGGGGACAAAAAUGGCAUAAGAGAGAUGUACAAGGGUUGGGAAGGGGAAGAGAAAGAUCGAUAUCUACUACCCUUCCUUUUCUCUUAUGCAUUUUUGUCCCUCGCCAGUCUCGCCCAUAUUGUUAAUUUGCUCUGAUAAGGCCAUGGUGCAAUUCACGGAAAUGAGCUACGUUCUAGUUUUCUUUUUUUUAAAGAUGUUUAUAAUUUGCUCCCUCUCAAAAAGGGGAGGGGUUCUUUGUUAGGUGGAAAGAAGACAAGAACAUGCUGCUUGGUGUCAGUUAUUGUGCGCUAUUGAUGGAUGGGAUCGGCAGGAGACAAAAAUGGCAUAAGAGAGGUACAGUGGGAGGCAGGAGAAAGACCAAUAUCUGCCACCCUUCUUUCUCUCUUAUGCGUUUUUGUCUCUCGCCGGUCACACCCGUGUUAAUUUGCCCUGAUAAGGCCAUGGUAUAUAUAUAUGAUUCUUUGACCCAAUUCACAUGACAAUCUUCUUCUCUAGACUGCAUCGUCUUGUUCAUGAGGUAUGUUCUUGUCUUCUUUUUGAAAGAUGUUUAUAAUUUGAUCUCUAUCAAACACAGGGCAGAUAUGCUUUGCUAGGAGGGAAAAACUUGCAGAAACAAUAUGGAACGGGAAGUUUGUUCUGGUGGGACAAGAAGGAAGCCUGUGGGAUUGGAGAGGAAAGGAAGUCCCGGGAAGAUGAGGACGUCGUUGCACAGCUUAGACGAGAAAGAAGAAAUUAUUUUUUAAUGUUAUUUAAUUAGUUUUGUUCUUAUUAAUUUCUUUUCUUUUUCUUAGACCAGUAUUUCUUACGAACUAUCUUAUUUAUACGAGUAUAAUAAAAGGGAGGGUUUUGGAGAAACCUUGCUGCAAAGGUUUAAUUAUUUUCC